UACGGAGGAUGCGAGCGUUGUCCGGAUUUAUUGGGUUUAAAGGGUGCGUAGGCGGACUGUCAAGUCAGCGGUAAAAUUGAGAGGCUCAACCUCUUCCCGCCGUUGAAACUGGUGGUCUUGAGUGGAUGAGAAGUACGCGGAAUGCGUGGUGUAGCGGUGAAAUGCAUAGAUAUCACGCAGAACUCCGAUUGCGAAGGCAGCGUACCGGCAUCCAACUGACGCUGAGACACGAAAGCGUGGGGAUCAAACAGG
This 252-nucleotide ribosomal RNA is filed under the name uncultured bacterium. RNAcentral's name for it is "partial 16S ribosomal RNA". It matches the Rfam family "Bacterial small subunit ribosomal RNA", at positions 524 to 776 of the family's 1533-position model. The record is from RNAcentral.